UGUAAAUACAUUUUAUUCAUCAUCAUCAUUAAUUAUUUCUUCUUCUUCCUGUUUUCUGGUGCAGAAUCAUUUAGACUCUGUCCUUUAUACAUACAUAUCCCUUAGUCAAUGCUUUUGUGUAAAAUAACAAUAAAAAAGAUGUAUUACUAGUGCAUCAAAUUUUUAAAAUCUAAAAAAUACUCAAAAACAAAAUAAAAGUAAAAAAACAAUUCAGAAACAAUAAACAUUAUCAUUGUUGCUUUGUAAGCACUUGUAAUAUAUUAAGUAUUUCACCUCACUAUUUUGCACAGUAAAUACUGAGUCCAACUAAAGUACCAUCUCUCCCCCUAAAAUUUUGAUCAUUUGAGAAUUACUUUAAAAUUCCCUUUAGGUAUAUAUAAUAACAUCAGCUGUGGAUGUUUUUAUGAAUUUCAAAACUAUUCCAUCUCCCCCUAAAUGGGUCUUUGUGGUAACUUCAAAAUUGUAAAUGGGACAACCCGUACAGUAAUAAUACAAAUUGAAGGUCUAGAUAAGAUACAGUAAUAAAACAACACUUGAAAAGCAAUACAGAAUACCUAUACAAAAGACAAAACUAUUCAAAUUUCUACCACAUAUCUAAGAAGUUAACAUUUGAGUGAAAGUAAAAUUAUAAUAUCUAUUAGACCUUUUGUUAAGAGGUGUCAACUUAAAAGCAUGUAAUUUCAAAACUUUUCUUAUUUGAUUUUGAUUAAUAUGAAAUACAAAACAAGAAUAAGGUAAAUGAAGAUUGUUCUGUUUGUUGCAUAAGCUGAUAGAUAAGUGAUAUCACAUAAAUCAAAAUGAGAAAUUGUUUUAAUUGUAAGAAAUCAGUGAGCACAAUGUUAAAAAUGAAACAAAAUGUUUUGACAGUGACAUAGUUCGGCUUGUAUUGUAUUUAUGUCAUCUUCUUUUGUUAAAAUUGAUAUAUAAUCAGAGUUUCUGAGUGAACGCAAAUGAAUGAGCAUUAUUGUAAGAUGUAGUGAUAAGAGUUGUUUAAUAAUAAUUUUACUCGUUGUCAUAACUUAUUAUUAUAAAUACAGAUGAUGAAUUAAACCUA
Long non-coding RNA from Homalodisca vitripennis (glassy-winged sharpshooter), 1054 nucleotides. RefSeq lists it as uncharacterized. NCBI's taxonomy places the organism in Eukaryota, Metazoa, Arthropoda, Insecta, Hemiptera, Cicadellidae. The record is from RefSeq and is a predicted model, not a curated record. The transcript is spliced from 2 exons.